RNAcentral lists this ribosomal RNA (492 nucleotides) under uncultured bacterium. RNAcentral's name for it is "partial 16S ribosomal RNA". It matches the Rfam family "Bacterial small subunit ribosomal RNA", at positions 29 to 507 of the family's 1533-position model. The record is from RNAcentral.
AGUGAACGCUGGCGGCAGGCCUAACACAUGCAAGUCGAACGGUAGCACGAAAAGACCUGCUGCUUACCUGAGGAGAGUGGCGGAGGGGUGAGAAGUACAUCGAAAUCUCUGUUUGCGUGGGGGAAAUAGUAGAAAAACUAGCGCAUAUAGCGUAAAGGACCUACGGGUGAAAGGAGGGGCUCUUCGGACCUUGCGCGAGGGAAUGAGCCGAUGUCGGAUUAGCUAGUUGGCGGGGUAAAGGCACACCAAGGCGACGAUCCGUAGCUGGUCUGAGAGGAUGAUCAGCCACACUGGAACUGAGACACGGUCCAGACUCCUACGGGAGGCAGCAGUGGGGAAUAUUGGACAAUGGGAGCAAGCCUGAUGCAGCCAUACCGCGUGGAUGAAGAAGGCCUUCGGGUUGUAAAGCACUUUUAUCGGGAAAGAAAAGAGGAAGGUUAAUACCCCGGUGCUUUGACGGUACCCAAAGAAUAAGCACCGGCUAACUUCGUG